UGGCAACAUAUUGUAGCUGAAGGGAAAGGUCUGGGAUUGACAGAGCAAGGGUAGGAAAUAUCUCCGCGCUGGAGCCGGAGUACAGACAUACUUCAAGUUCAGGAGAAGCAAGAGACCCAAGAAGAAAUAGGCAAACUAAAGAGUUUCAACAAAGUUUAUCUAAGACGGAUGGCACAGCAUAUUGAGAUUACCCGACUGCUCGAUCAAACUCCUCCGAGCGAUGAGGUCUCUCUCUCCUCUGCCUCUCACAAGACACACACACAAAGAAUCUCUUUGUUUUUUUCCCCACUGUUUGUGUACUAUUUUUGACAAGAGGAAAUAAGAUAGGAAGUAUUAACGGAUUUGAUGGAUAAUUUGAUUGUCCUUUUAAAUCUAAGCUUGUGGCACAAAAUGGCAAACAAACAAGAUCAAAUUCGGUAA
Molecule: non-coding RNA, 420 nt
Organism: Nicotiana tabacum (common tobacco)
Lineage: Eukaryota; Viridiplantae; Streptophyta; Magnoliopsida; Solanales; Solanaceae
Source: RefSeq, a predicted model, not a curated record